GCCAGUACAUACUACUGUAGACCUCUAAAGAACAUUCAACACACACUCUUUCUGUGAGUUUACCCCUCACGGAUACAAAUCCCAGCAACCCUUAACAAAGGAGAGAGUCUACAAUUUAUUUUUUUAAGGGGGAGGUGUCCUUAAAAUGUGCUUUAAAGGUAUUGUGUGUACACAGUAGGGCUGACAAGCCAAUCCUAUAAUUAUUAUUUUCCCUAUAUUGAGCUCCUUACAUUGAGAGAUUAGCAAAUGAUGAGUGGAAAUGGGAUGGGGACUGUUAGUAACCAAGGCAGAGUGGAUGGAAUCAGAGGCUGAAGCAGGAGAGUAGGAAGAGGGAGGCCAAGAGGCAAAGAUGAGUCAGGCUGGUGAAGAGUCCUCCCCUCCCCACUUGUCUCCCAGAACCAGAAGAGGCAUGCAAAGGGUGGAGGAGAGGUUGGCUGCAUGCAGGCGCAGUCUCCGAUUACUUGGAAAAAAACCCUGAGAAGGAGGGCACUUAGACGGCUGUGAGGAGGCAGGGACUUUCAGCCUCAGCAACUGAUUUUCAUAGAAUAAGUCCACCAGGAAUGAGCUGCUCUGCUCUUUAGGCCUGACACUCAACCAAGACUGUAGAGAUUGUGCUUUGGCUAAUAAUAACUCCAAUUUUGAAUUGUGUGAUUACUGAAUUGCACGCUCCUGUGACACAAAUAAACUUAUAUCCGCUGA
Molecule: long non-coding RNA, 699 nt
Organism: Podarcis raffonei (Aeolian wall lizard)
Lineage: Eukaryota; Metazoa; Chordata; Lepidosauria; Squamata; Lacertidae
Exons: 2
Source: RefSeq, a predicted model, not a curated record